GGGUAGCCUAGUGGACAUGGCAUCUGCCCGGUAAGCGGAACACUGUGGGUUCGAUUCCCACACAAACACACAUAAACA
Cordylochernes scorpioides is the source of this 78-nucleotide non-coding RNA. NCBI's taxonomy places the organism in Eukaryota, Metazoa, Arthropoda, Arachnida, Pseudoscorpiones, Chernetidae. The record is from the annotation of a GenBank genome assembly.